UUAACUCAAAUUUGUAUGGAGUUGGAAAGUUUGCCUACGUAUGCCGCUAGGGGCGCUGUUCCAACUGCACACAAAUUUGAGUUA
Non-coding RNA from Bombyx mori (domestic silkworm), 84 nucleotides. NCBI's taxonomy places the organism in Eukaryota, Metazoa, Arthropoda, Insecta, Lepidoptera, Bombycidae. The record is from Rfam.